GAUGUCGUUAAGUCCGCUAACGAGCGCAACCCUCGCUGUGUGUUACAAGUGUCACACGGAACUGCCGGUCGAUAAACCGGAGGAAGGUGGGGAUGACGUCAAGUCAGCAUGGCCUUUAUAUCCUGGGCUACACACACGCUACAAUGGGAAGGGACAAUAGGUUGCGAAGCCGCGAGGUGGAGCCAAUCCAGCAAAACUUCCCUCAGUUCAGAUUGCAGGCUGCAACUCGCCUGCAUGAAGUUGGAGUUGCUAGUAAACGCAGGUCAGCCAUACUGCGUUGAAUACGUUCCCAGGGCUU
This 298-nucleotide ribosomal RNA is filed under the name uncultured Anaerolineaceae bacterium. RNAcentral's name for it is "partial 16S ribosomal RNA". It matches the Rfam family "Bacterial small subunit ribosomal RNA", at positions 1073 to 1382 of the family's 1533-position model. The record is from RNAcentral. Lineage: Bacteria; Bacillati; Chloroflexota; Anaerolineae; Anaerolineales; Anaerolineaceae.